CUGGGAAAGCUCUGCGUUCUGGGAGUUGUAGUCCUCUCCUUUUUCCGGCUCUUAGUACAGAGGUUUUCUCUUUUUUUCAAGCUGCAAUUUGGCUUGCAGCAGUGUCCAACUUAAUCCGGCAGUGGGACUUUUCUUAAAAGCAAACUAAACAAAAGAGAAUGGAGGUUUAUAACGCAGGGAGAUGAAAACAUAAAAGUAAAUGGUUUUUAGAAUGUAUCCAAAUCAUAACUGCCCUCAAGGGCAUGGCGGGGGGAGUUGAUUUUGAGAAUCUUUGGGAUGGAAACUAGAAUCAGCAUCUUAAGGAAAAGUUUAUUUAAUGCAGGACCCAUUUGCUAUCUGAAUAGCGUUGCUUGAAGUAUCUUAUAAAAAUAGCAGGGCACGAAGAUUGUGAAGAUACACCUGCAAAAAAUAGAGACCUCUUUGUGUAUUCUUAUACAGAAUUCUGAACAGGAUUACCACGCUAUCUUACUUGCAAACCGAGCUUGAUGGACUUAUCUUAAUUACCAAGGCUGAAUAAACACUAGGGGGCUCCCUGGAGUGCAGAAUGUGCAAGAAAACUGCGGAAUACAGAUUACAAAUUAUGUAUAAUACUUCCAUUUUUCCUUGUCCUCAGGGACCAAAAAGUACUCAAUGUCACAAUAAAAAAACAUAAUAAACAUUACUGAUAUUUCCUAAAUGA
Long non-coding RNA from Marmota flaviventris (yellow-bellied marmot), 679 nucleotides. RefSeq lists it as uncharacterized. The record is from RefSeq and is a predicted model, not a curated record. NCBI's taxonomy places the organism in Eukaryota, Metazoa, Chordata, Mammalia, Rodentia, Sciuridae.